UUUAAGCUUUCGAGCGGAGCUAAAGGAAUUAGAGAGUCUCUUACGCAAUUUGUACUCCCAAUUUUUAUAAAUUUCACGGUUAUACUGGUCCUUCCAGGAACACUUAGUCUCCAAAUAAAGUAAGUAAUAUUAGAUGAAAAUAUUAUUAAUAUAACGCUUAAAUAAAUAAGAAUUAUAUUAAAACCUUAAAUUGGUUGAACAUAUGAAAAUAUUAUUAAUAUAACGCUUUAAUAAAUAAGAAUUGUAUAAAAACCUUAAAUUGGUUGAACAUAUGUCGUACAAGACUUUGUAGAAAGUCACUCCAAGUCGGAUAGGGUGUCAAGUACAACGUGCCAAGUAUUAUAGUGAUUAUCUUUGUAACCAUCCUAUUUGGAAUAAACCUGCAACAUUGAAAUUAUAUUAAAUAAAUAAGAGUAGCUUUAUAAUUCGGCAAAAAUAAAGAAGUAACAAAUAAAUCGUACCCAUUGCCCUCAGGCCUGAUGAUCAACCUAUGGUAAUGAUCAUAACACACAUCAUUCGCAUCAUUAUCCGGAUCAUCUGAAGCAUGUGCAGAAGAGGGGGCAUCUGGCUCAGUGCUACUAUCCCAAACACGAUGUCUAGAAAUGCUAGGAGAUGAUCUCUAUGGAGAGGGAGACGGGGUAUCAAAUGAAGAUGGCUGUGAUCCACAUCCCUGCAC
RNAcentral lists this long non-coding RNA (676 nucleotides) under Nicotiana benthamiana. Its description in RNAcentral is "long non-coding RNA (NBEN_LNC020519)". The record is from RNAcentral. Lineage: Eukaryota; Viridiplantae; Streptophyta; Magnoliopsida; Solanales; Solanaceae.